UGGGGAAUAUUGGACAAUGGGGGCAACCCUGAUCCAGCAAUGCCGCGUGUGUGAAGAAGGUCUUCGGAUUGUAAAGCACUUUCGACGGGGACGAUGAUGACGGUACCCGUAGAAGAAGCCCCGGCUAACUUCGUGCCAGCAGCCGCGGUAAUACGAAGGGGGCUAGCGUUGCUCGGAAUGACUGGGCGUAAAGGGCGUGUAGGCGGUUUACACAGUCAGAUGUGAAAUCCCCGGGCUUAACCUGGGAGCUGCAUUUGAUACGUGUAGACUAGAGUGUGAGAGAGGGUUGUGGAAUUCCCAGUGUAGAGGUGAAAUUCGUAGAUAUUGGGAAGAACACCGGUGGCGAAGGCGGCAACCUGGCUCAUUACUGACGCUGAGGCGCGAAAGCGUGGGGAGCAAACAGGAUUAGAUACCCUGGUAGUCCACGCUGUAAACGAUGUGUGCUAGAUGUUGGGUAACUUUGUUAUUCU
Molecule: ribosomal RNA, 470 nt
Filed under: uncultured bacterium
Lineage: Bacteria
Description: partial 16S ribosomal RNA
Rfam family: Bacterial small subunit ribosomal RNA
Source: RNAcentral